CAACCCGGGGAGAUAGGAUUUGUUUUGAUUACUGUAUCAGGAAGGAAGGAGCUGUGUAGAUGUGUCCUGGAGAAUCCAGGGGGCAUGUCUGAUGCCCCUGAAACUGCCUGAUCAAUGGAUUCUCCAGGCAAGAAUACUGGAGUGGGUUGCUGUGCCCUUCUCAAGAAUAGAAGAAUGGACCAAAAUCUCAGAGGUAUCCCUCAGCCAACCUUCUCCGGGGGCCGGCAGCCACCUCAGGAGAAAGCCAUCUCGAAACUCUCGCAAGGUUUACCUCUUUAGCAGGCGAAUGCCCAUACGAACCAAACAUUCUAAGGAAAUUCAUCAUAACCCCUGGAUGAAAAGGUAACAGAAAAGUGACGGUGUCUGGUACCGGCUUCUCCUGUAUCAGGUAGGUACUGACAGGGUGAUAACUACCUCUGCCCUGAACACACGGAGAUGCACACACUCGUCUGCUGAGCCUCAUUUCCUCUAAGAAAUGUUAAGCCAUCUGUCCAAAGAGAUGGUAUGAGGAUGAAAAUUCCUUUAAAGGAAAAAAUGAUGUGGUAAAACCCAAACUCAAACCCAGGGUAAGAGUGGUGUUGAUCUUCUAUGCUUCGAUUUUCUAGAAGCAGCUUCAGGCAGCAGGCUCCGCAGGCCGGUGAAUUCAGGGGCCGUUUUAGGGCAAGCCAGGUGGGAUUAGAUGUUCCAAUGUGCACUGUGCUCCUAAGCCCGCUGUGAUCUGAAACUUAGCUCUUGGGCUUGGGCCAGAACCAGCCUGACGUUCAAGGGUGAGCACAGAAGGCAGCAGCCUUCAGGCAACCGCUGUGCAGAAUUCUCUGGAUAAUGCCUUUGGCUCUGUUCUCUCCAACGCUGGUCAGAUGAUCCCAGUCCAUCCGCGACCCCCUUGGUGUCACUAUAGGUGCGUCCUGCUGAAAUCGUACAUCUUUUUAAGAUUCUGAAAAUAAAUCCUAUCACUAUCUUCUGGUCUCAGUUGAGAACAGUUAUCUUUCAGUGGUUUUCACAGUAUAACUAACUUGCCCAAUUUUACUAAGGCUCUAUAACUUCAUUAGGAGGUUAGCUGUAAUGAAAAAAAAAUAGUACUUAAUUA
Molecule: long non-coding RNA, 1087 nt
Filed under: Cervus hanglu yarkandensis (Yarkand deer)
Lineage: Eukaryota; Metazoa; Chordata; Mammalia; Artiodactyla; Cervidae
Description: lncRNA (ENSCHYG00000020391.1)
Source: RNAcentral